Molecule: long non-coding RNA, 580 nt
Organism: Mandrillus leucophaeus (drill)
Lineage: Eukaryota; Metazoa; Chordata; Mammalia; Primates; Cercopithecidae
Exons: 2
Source: RefSeq, a predicted model, not a curated record
AGUAAUCUUUUUCCUUCAACAGACAGAAAUCAGGUAAGAGACAGGUAAGGGAAGAUGCUGGUGCUAAAUUUCUGGACAUGCUGUGCAGGGGUGAAAUGUCAGAUGACAAAGCAGUAUCACGAAUAAGACUGCCAAAGGACAAUCUUGUUGAAUUCUGGGCAGAAACACUGAGGAGAGAUUUGAAUUGAAACUAUGUUAUUAUAAUAAUUGUGUUAUCUUCAAUCUGGGCAUGGCACACAGAGGAACAUUCUGGCCUGAUGCUGCUCAAGCUGUCCCUCUUUGGAUAAACAAAUGGCUUCAGUUUUCAAAACAUUCUCCUAAAGCACUUUUAUAUUCUUAUUUUUUAAAUUGUAUAACACCCAGUACACCUCAGUGGUCCCAGUCUUUAAAAGCCUUGUUAAUUUUACCUUUAAAUUUUCUUCCUUUAUAUUCUUCUAUCGAAUUCAUAUCUUCUCAUUUAUGCCAGUAAUGUUCUCACCCAUAAAUUCUACUCUAAGGUCAAAAUGUUUCCUUUCUCCUUUUUUAAAUAACUGUCAAUACGGGCUCUCACAAUAAACAAAUCACCACCAAAAAAAGAACA